UCUGUCUCUAGACUAAUUUAUGGGGCUUCUUGAUGAGUGUCCUUGCGAUCGGCGAAGGGUCCACGCUUGCGGCAGAUCAUUCUAAUUUGGAAGAAAAUAAAGUAUCAGAAUAUUUAUGGACAAUAAUUUUUAUUGUAAUAAGAAAUUCAGUAGCGAAGUAUCAUCAAUUUAUUGGAAACGUAUAAGGAAAUUUGACUUCGAGUGAAAAAAUAUUACCGGGCAUGUAUCCUUCAAAUGUGCAAGAAAUACCGG
Long non-coding RNA from Ctenocephalides felis (cat flea), 252 nucleotides. RefSeq lists it as uncharacterized. The transcript is spliced from 3 exons. The record is from RefSeq and is a predicted model, not a curated record. NCBI's taxonomy places the organism in Eukaryota, Metazoa, Arthropoda, Insecta, Siphonaptera, Pulicidae.